Gadus morhua (Atlantic cod) is the source of this 1552-nucleotide long non-coding RNA. NCBI's taxonomy places the organism in Eukaryota, Metazoa, Chordata, Actinopteri, Gadiformes, Gadidae. The record is from Ensembl.
AUGAUUACCCGAACAUCAUCUUACAAGAACACAACAACCUUUAAGGCCUUGAUUGGGAUUGCCCCUUGUAGUGCUGUGACUUUUGUGUCAAGUCUCUUUACCGGCUCCAUCUCCGACCCAGAGCUGACUGAACGAAGUGGACUGCUGGAUUUACUGGAGCCAGGAGAUGGCUGCAUGGCAGACAAGGGUUUCACCAUCGAGAAGCCACUAGCUGAUCGUGGGGCAACGCUGAUUAUACCACCCUUCAAGAUGACAGUUCACUGAAGAGGAUGCUCUGAAAACACAAGCAAUCGCUCGACUUCGAAUCCUCGUAGAAAGAGCAAUAGGCAGAGUCAAGGAAUACCGCAUCUGGGAACGCACUGUCCUUUCACCUUGUCUGCGACAGUCAAUCAGCUGUGGACCGUCUGCUGUGUGAUGACCAACUUCCAGGGACCACUUGAUUUAAAAGGCUACAUCCCUGUUGAAUAGUGUUUCUACUCAAACAUGUACCUAUAAAUAUUAAAUAUAAUAUAUAAAUAUUAAAACGAGAGGCACUGAACAUUUGGAGUGGUCCCUUCAUUUUUUCCGGAGCUGUAAUUUUGUACACUGAAAACAUUGUAUAUAUUGAAUGACAUGUAAUGUAAUUGAAUGAGAAGUCUUUCAUCUAUAAUCAAUUUUAAAGUCCAGUCAGUCCAUCCUGAAAGUAUUCAAAAUAAGGUUAAUAUAUAAUGUAGUAAAUGAUGUACUCAGAAAAAGAGAAUGAAUUAAAUCCUUUUAUUCUUUCAGUUCCUUUAUUCAUUCAGUUCAUUUCACAUUCAUUUCACUUUCUGCUGAAGAUACACAUUCAUAUAUGUACCAAAGAAGUACCAGUCUACCUUAUUUUUCAUCUCUUAUCCUUUCAUCCCUCCAGACUGAGCUGACGCCAAACCGACGUUAGCAUAAGCCAACCUACCUAGCGUAAGCUAGCUAGCAGACACUCGCAUUAGUAGUCGUUAUAUUUCUCGAAAAAUAAACAAUCCCUUGUCCAGUUUGGAGCGGGCUGUUAUGGAGUGUUGUUCGGUAAGUCUGUGAACUUCAGAAAACGUGACUUUGGGUACAUUUACCAGGGAUGUCGUGAAAGUGAACUGCCGGUCCUCCAUCAUCAGUUCGCCAGAGUGAUGAGUGGUUCACCGGAUGUCACAGUGCACAAUGAACACCGAAUGCGGAAGUACUACGUAUCAGCGUGAUAAUCCCCUAUAACUUAGACCUCACCCGCAGAGGGAGUGAAAAAAUAACGCCAGACCCAGAGCUUUACAGUGUCAAUAUACACGUUACAAAAUGAGACCCAUUCUACUGACUCAGUGGGACAGAUUGCACCAUCCGGAGAUUUCACAUCAAAGAUGUGAGGAUGAGAAUGUGCUGCUAAUGGCUGCGGCUGCCCACUGUGAACCUUGCACGUAGUAAGUUGGUGUGACAGUGAUGAGUUUGUUUUGUAGUUCUGGCUUGGACACUGCACAGUGUCGAACAGCUCACGAGAGAUGUACUCCUCCGGCACCUGAUAGGUUAGGGUUAGGUAAAUUAAAAUAUCUCAUGG